GAUGUCUUUGUUAGUAGGUGUUUUUGGAGGAUCCUUGGGUAGUGCUUGAAACACUUUAUCUCAAAUGAACACCUACUUUGACAAAGAUGAAGAGUUUAACGGGCAUUGGUUGCCUCAGUGUUGGGGAUCCCAACAGCUGGAGAAAACCUCUCCAAGGGGAUAUCCAUGUUUUCCCUGUCUGGGGAAGGGGGUGUUUAGAGAUGCGGAUACACCAACUUCUUGCCAUCCAGGACCCAAAGCAGUUCCAUAGUGUAGUGGAUGCAGUGGACCAUAAUUCUCUUCUAGCAAUUUCUAGCAAAUUCCAUGGUUCAAGCAUCAUUCCAUCUAUUGGCAUCUAUGACUUAUGUCACAUAAGUCUAAAAUGGUCUGAUCAGGAUUUCUUUUGUUUAUAGCAGGGGACUCUGCAUGCACACUUAAAAUUGUGUGUUUUUGAGCGUGUUUAGCUUGAAACCCCAACUGUAUUUAACACUUAAAGUUAUAUUUAAAGAACAAAAUCACCAUCGCAAUACGACCCCCUUUGACAUCAAAGAGGAUUGCACAUGUGUGCGCUGUCAUCAGAGUCACAGUGAGUUUGUCACCUAUAGUGCAUUUAACAAACGCCAGUGAGGGCUGUAAGGAAACCGCUUUAAUAAUGGUGGCAUGGCUUUAUGUCUUAUAUCAAAGUCUAUGUGUAUCAAUCAACUGUGUGCACGUGUACGUUAUUAGUGCAUGUUGGAUGAAUAAGGGUGGGGCUAAGAGGAACAGUCUUUAAAAUCCUACAGGAGUAACCCUGCCAUAACAGAUGAAUAUAGUUCAAAUGAUGGUUCACUCUGUCAAAUCUGGUUGCACAUAUUCAGAGCUCGAGAGUGGCCUCACGCCAAAAUAAAAUCCACCGUGUGUGUUAUUUUUUAUUUUUUUAAAUGGUGUAAACACUGACACCAGUAAAGUACAUUUCAAGAGCAGUGUCCCCUUUUGGUGUGAGACCAUUUUUGGCAUUAGUCUUAGAGUGAACCAUCACUUAAACAUGGCUUACACAGUUUAUCAUGGAGCUAGCAGUGCAGCCUCCCUUUCUCUGUGCUUCCUACCUGUUCCACCUCUUGUUAGCAGCUUUAUUGUUUUUAGUAGUUACUGCUUGCUUAUGUCGCAUUUAUUCAGCCGUAAAAGUUCACAUAAUAUACCAUGUUAGCUUCCUGAUAAAAUAAU
Thalassophryne amazonica is the source of this 1182-nucleotide long non-coding RNA. RefSeq lists it as uncharacterized. The record is from RefSeq and is a predicted model, not a curated record. NCBI's taxonomy places the organism in Eukaryota, Metazoa, Chordata, Actinopteri, Batrachoidiformes, Batrachoididae. The transcript has 2 exons.